AGCUCAGUCGGUAGAGCGCCGGACUGUUAAUCCGUAGGUCCCUGGUUCGAGCCGAGGGCCA
RNAcentral lists this transfer RNA (61 nucleotides) under Piscinibacter sp. Its description in RNAcentral is "tRNA-Asn". It matches the Rfam family "tRNA", at positions 9 to 63 of the family's 71-position model. From Rfam's summary of the family: Transfer RNA (tRNA) molecules are approximately 80 nucleotides in length. Their secondary structure includes four short double-helical elements and three loops (D, anti-codon, and T loops). Lineage: Bacteria; Pseudomonadati; Pseudomonadota; Betaproteobacteria; Burkholderiales; Sphaerotilaceae. The record is from RNAcentral.